This 305-nucleotide ribosomal RNA is filed under the name uncultured bacterium. RNAcentral describes it as "bacterial SSU rRNA". It matches the Rfam family "Bacterial small subunit ribosomal RNA", at positions 337 to 659 of the family's 1533-position model. The record is from RNAcentral.
GCCUACGGGGCGCAGCAGUGGGGAAUAUUGCACAAUGGGGGAAACCCUGAUGCAGCGACGCCGCGUGAAGGAAGAAGUAUUUCGGUAUGUAAACUUCUAUCAGCAGGGAAGAAAAUGACGGUACCUGACUAAGAAGUCCCGGCUAACUACGUGCCAGCAGCCGCGGUAAUACGUAGGGGGCAAGCGUUAUCCGGAAUUAUUGGGUGUAAAGGGUGCGUAGACGGGAAAUUAAGUUAGUUGUGAAAUCCCUUGGCUUAACUGAGGAACUGCAACUAAAACUGAUUUUCUUGAGUACUGGAGAGGAA